This 301-nucleotide ribosomal RNA is filed under the name uncultured bacterium. RNAcentral describes it as "partial 16S ribosomal RNA". It matches the Rfam family "Bacterial small subunit ribosomal RNA", at positions 509 to 807 of the family's 1533-position model. The record is from RNAcentral.
CAGUAGCCGCGGGAAUACAGAGGGUGCGAGCGUUAAUCGGAUUUACUGGGCGUAAAGCGUGCGUAGGCGGCUUCUUAAGUCGGAUGUGAAAUCCCUGAGCUUAACUUAGGAAUUGCAUUCGAUACUGGGAAGCUAGAGUAUGAGAGAGGAUGGUAGAAUUCCAGGUGUAGCGGUGAAAUGCGUAGAGAUCUGGAGGAAUACCGAUGGCGAAGGCAGCCAUCUGGCCUAAUACUGACGCUGAGGUACGAAAGCAUGGGGAGCAAACAGGAUUAGAUACCCGUGUAGUCCCUGUCUCUUAUAC